UACGAAGGGGACUAGCGUUGUUCGGAUUUACUGGGCGUAAAGCGCACGUAGGCGGAUCGAUCAGUCAGGGGUGAAAUCCCAGAGCUCAACUCUGGAACUGCCUUUGAUACUGUCGAUCUGGAGUAUGGAAGAGGUGAGUGGAAUUCCGAGUGUAGAGGUGAAAUUCGUAGAUAUUCGGAGGAACACCAGUGGCGAAGGCGGCUCACUGGUCCAUUACUGACGCUGAGGUGCGAAAGCGUGGGGAGCAAACAGG
Molecule: ribosomal RNA, 253 nt
Filed under: uncultured bacterium
Lineage: Bacteria
Description: partial 16S ribosomal RNA
Rfam family: Bacterial small subunit ribosomal RNA
Source: RNAcentral